Hibiscus syriacus is the source of this 1885-nucleotide long non-coding RNA. RefSeq lists it as uncharacterized. The record is from RefSeq and is a predicted model, not a curated record. Lineage: Eukaryota; Viridiplantae; Streptophyta; Magnoliopsida; Malvales; Malvaceae. The transcript is spliced from 2 exons.
UUACUACUUACGUGAGAUCCCAAUUUGAUAGCUUUUGAUCCUUUUUUUUAUGCUAUUUUGGACUACUGUAACUUUUUUUUUUGCAGAACUGUAGUUUUAUUGGACUCGCAAAAAUCUGCCAGGGAUGUUGCAGAUGCCGUAUUCAUCAGGUUAUACUGAUGUUUAGGAAGGCUUUAUUAGUGGCAGGAUGAAGUUCUUGAUGUUCCUAAACUUUUUCUUUUCUCCUUUUCACUUAAAUUCAGUGAUGAAAUGGUUUUGGGUUAGUGUUUUUGGCAACCAUAAGAUGAACUUUGUAGUAUUGGUUGCUGCUCAUAUUUUAUUUUGAAGAAUUAAGGUUAUAUUCGGCAUUAAAAGGGCUUGUUGGUUCCCUUUGUUAUGGAAGAGAGUUUUUUUGCAUUUGCAUUUGGAUUUGGCUUGCUGCUCUUGUUAAGCUUCACCUUGAUUAGUCAUAUGCUUAGCAUCAGCUAAAUAAACAAGCUUUUAGCGAUGUUGUGCAUUUGCACCGCAUAAAACCCAUGUAGAAUGCUGCUAUAUGCCUCGGGUUAUCUUAUCCAUUCACACUUCAUAGACUAGUCGACUUGGUAUGGAUGGAGUUGUUGGUAUUCAGCUCACAGAUGUAGCUUUCUCGUGUCCCAUUUUUGCCCAUAUUUACAGCUUUCUUAGGUAGAUGAUUUUAAUAGUUAAAUACAAGAUUUCCUUUACUUUGAGCAAUGUCAUACCUUAGUGAUUCAAAAAGUUUCUGUGUGCAGAAAAGUCACCAUUUACAGUUUAGCAUGUUUUUUUCUCUCUUUUCAUGUAUUUUUUCUUUUUCCAGGACGAGAUGGCUGGAGAGAACGGACAAAUUGCAAAAACUUGAAUAUAAACUAUUAUCAUCUAUCGUUACAAGAUAUGUUUAUCGCACAAAAGUUGUAUGAUAACCGGUUCGAUCGGAAUUAAUCUCUCCUUUUCCCCCUCUCAGGAUGCUGCUUAGCUUGGAGACGAGACCAGAUCCGCUACUCCCAGUAACACGUGGUCCUAUAAACCCAUCAUUGGAUAGAUGGUCUGAAGGGCCCCAAGAUUCCAAAGGUUGCAGAUGCCAGAUUCUAUGAUUUGAGCCAAUCUAACAUUUGUUGCCAAUACGUGUUAAAAUGUUACAGCUUAGUUGUUAUCUUAAUAGAUGCUUUCAAUUCUCUUUCAAUAGUGUGCAAUACCCAAGAUUUUGGGUGGCGCCGUAUAAUUUACUUUUUCCGAUUCGGAUGAAACUUGUAUAUCGGAUGCAUCUACUGCAGAUAUGAGCUUCUAAACGGAUGGUUCUCGUCUUCAUUUUGCCGGUCCAUUGUUGACUCGUAAGCAGGAAGCUCUAGUUUAUGGAUACCGUAUACUUUCUCAACAAGAAACCAGAGUAAGUCUCUUUAAUCACAAAAGGAAGAGCAUGCUGGAAUUAUCAGGUGUGCUGCCCAACGGUUUGUGAUAGAUUUGGAAAACAUAGUCACUGUUUAAACUACAGCUAGGUCACUAUGUUCAGCAGACCAAACAGACCUAGAACAGUGAGGUGGGGCGUCUUCCAUUCUGCUAUUCCCGCUACUUGAUUGCUUAAUGAUGUUUUCAUCAACCUCUGCAUGUGAGUUGAAAUAUCAUAUACCUGUUUCAACCACGGAAGCUCUCUCUUAGGAGUUACAUCACAACCACUACAAAGAUUUCCUUUUCUUGGAGGUUCUACCGAUGACUGAAAUGCAAGCCACCAGCUUCGAAUGGAAUUGUCGGCCAAGUCUGUUAUUCUCCGCAACCUGCAAGCGUAUGUAAUCUGGCUUACCCUAUAUAAAAAUACGUUGAAACAAAUUUUUGUAAAUAUUUUUAAAUGAGAUUAAACAAUAACUAAAAUAUGUAGAUGGGCCGUUGAAACUCA